RNAcentral lists this unclassified non-coding RNA (276 nucleotides) under fungal sp. RNAcentral's name for it is "partial contains 5.8S ribosomal RNA, internal transcribed spacer 2, and large subunit ribosomal RNA". The stretch from base 1 to 71 matches the Rfam family "5.8S ribosomal RNA", at positions 84 to 154 of the family's 154-position model. The record is from RNAcentral. Lineage: Eukaryota; Fungi.
GUGAGUCAUCGAAUCUUUGAACGCACAUUGCGCCCGUUAGUAUUCUGACGGGCAUGCCUGUUCGAGCGUCAUUUCAACCCUCAGGCCCAGCCUGGUGAUGGGGACCCGCCUGCGGGCCCUGAAGUACAGUGGCGGCUCCGCCAUGCUCCGAGCGCAGUAAAUCUUCUCGCUUAGGGUGUGUGGCGGCUGUCUGCCUUGCAAUGCUUUUUAAACUAUGGUUGACCUCGGAUCAGGUAGGAAUACCCGCUGAACUUAAGCAUAUCAAUAAGCGGAGGA